AGCAUGCUGUCCUCCCGUGUAAAGUGGGUAUGAUGCUCCUGUUUGCUGAAAAGGUCAUAAAUUAAACAAGGGGCAAAGGAGUGUAAGAGUGGAAAGUAAGCACCCAUGUGCGCUUCCUUCCUCAAGAAGGUCACCAUACAUAAAUUAUACAGAAUGCACACAAAUGUCCCAUAAAGUCUGGGAACAGUUUGCCUCCCUGCUGAAAAACAACAUGUGAGAAGAAACUGCUCUCUUUCUACUUCAGCUGUUGGAGGAUUUUCUGCUUAGAAUUUUGAUCAUGAGAAGGGCUGAGGACAAAAGCCAACUCCAGACAAGAUGGAGCAAAAGGAAGGAAAGAAUGUGAUAGCAUCAUUCCGAUCGGAAUUAAUCAACUCUGGACCGCCUACCUCUGGACUUCUUGGUAUGGAGAUAGUUUUAUGUGUCAAGAUCUGGCCUGGCUUAGCUGUGUGUCUGUGGCUCAAGGUCUCUCAAGAAGCUGCCAGUCAAUCUGUUGGCUGGGACCAUGGUCUCAUCUGAAGACUCAUCUCAGUGGGGACUGGGGAGGACAUCCACUUCCAAUCUUACUCACAUGGUUUUGGCACCACUUGGACCUUUCCGCAGGGC
RNAcentral lists this long non-coding RNA (603 nucleotides) under Equus asinus (donkey). RNAcentral describes it as "lncRNA (ENSEASG00005016868.2)". The record is from RNAcentral. Lineage: Eukaryota; Metazoa; Chordata; Mammalia; Perissodactyla; Equidae.